GCGACGGUUGUCCCGGUUUAAGCAUGUAGGCGGGAAGUUUAGGUAAAUCCGGACUUCUUUUAACGCUGAGGUGUGAUGACGAGGCACUACGGUGCUGAAGUAACAAAUGCCCUGCUUCCAGGAAAAGCCUCUAAGCAUCAGGUAACACGAAAUCGUACCCCAAACCGACACAGGUGGUCAGGUAGAGAAUACCAAGGCGCUUGAGAGAACUCGGGUGAAGGAACUAGGCAAAAUGGUGCCGUAACUUCGGGAGAAGGCACGCUGAUAUGUAGGUGAAGUGAUUUACUCAUGGAGCUGAAAUCAGUCGAAGAUACCAGCUG
Molecule: ribosomal RNA, 320 nt
Filed under: Citrobacter portucalensis
Lineage: Bacteria; Pseudomonadati; Pseudomonadota; Gammaproteobacteria; Enterobacterales; Enterobacteriaceae
Description: partial 23S ribosomal RNA
Rfam family: Bacterial large subunit ribosomal RNA
Source: RNAcentral